This 1369-nucleotide ribosomal RNA is filed under the name uncultured bacterium. Its description in RNAcentral is "bacterial SSU rRNA". It matches the Rfam family "Bacterial small subunit ribosomal RNA", at positions 28 to 1381 of the family's 1533-position model. The record is from RNAcentral.
GACGAACGCUGGCGGCGUGCCUAAUGCAUGCAAGUAGAACGCUGAAGAGAGGAGCUUGCUCUUCUUGGAUGAGUUGCGAACGGGUGAGUAACGCGUAGGUAACCUGCCUGGUAGCGGGGGAUAACUAUUGGAAACGAUAGCUAAUACCGCAUAAAAUUGAUUAUUGCAUGAUAAUUAAUUGAAAGAUGCAAUUGCAUCACUACCAGAUGGACCUGCGUUGUAUUAGCUAGUUGGUGAGGUAGCGGCUCACCAAGGCGACGAUACAUAGCCGACCUGAGAGGGUGAUCGGCCACACUGGGACUGAGACACAGCCCAGACUCCUACGGGAGGCAGCAGUAGGGAAUCUUCGGCAAUGGGGGGAACCCUGACCGAGCAACGCCGCGUGAGUGAAGAAGGUUUUCGGAUCGUAAAGCUCUGUUGUAAGAGAAGAACGGGUGUGAGAGUGGAAAGUUCACACUGUGACGGUAUCUUACCAGAAAGGGACGGCUAACUACGUGCCAGCAGCCGCGGUAAUACGUAGGUCCCGAGCGUUGUCCGGAUUUAUUGGGCGUAAAGCGAGCGCAGGCGGUUAGAUAAGUCUGAAGUUAAAGGCUGUGGCUUAACCAUAGUAUGCUUUGGAAACUGUUUAACUUGAGUGCAGAAGGGGAGAGUGGAAUUCCAUGUGUAGCGGUGAAAUGCGUAGAUAUAUGGAGGAACACCGGUGGCGAAAGCGGCUCUCUGGUCUGUAACUGACGCUGAGGCUCGAAAGCGUGGGGAGCAAACAGGAUUAGAUACCCUGGUAGUCCACGCCGUAAACGAUGAGUGCUAGGUGUUAGGCCCUUUCCGGGGCUUAGUGCCGCAGCUAACGCAUUAAGCACUCCGCCUGGGGAGUACGACCGCAAGGUUGAAACUCAAAGGAAUUGACGGGGGCCCGCACAAGCGGUGGAGCAUGUGGUUUAAUUCGAAGCAACGCGAAGAACCUUACCAGGUCUUGACAUCCCUCUGACCGCUCUAGAGAUAGAGUUUUCCUUCGGGACAGAGGUGACAGGUGGUGCAUGGUUGUCGUCAGCUCGUGUCGUGAGAUGUUGGGUUAAGUCCCGCAACGAGCGCAACCCCUAUUGUUAGUUGCCAUCAUUCAGUUGGGCACUCUAGCGAGACUGCCGGUAAUAAACCGGAGGAAGGUGGGGAUGACGUCAAAUCAUCAUGCCCCUUAUGACCUGGGCUACACACGUGCUACAAUGGCUGGUACAACGAGUCGCAAGCCGGUGACGGCAAGCUAAUCUCUGAAAGCCAGUCUCAGUUCGGAUUGUAGGCUGCAACUCGCCUACAUGAAGUCGGAAUCGCUAGUAAUCGCGGAUCAGCACGCCGCGGUGAAUACGUUCCCGGGCCU